Molecule: long non-coding RNA, 225 nt
Filed under: Mytilus galloprovincialis (Mediterranean mussel)
Lineage: Eukaryota; Metazoa; Mollusca; Bivalvia; Mytilida; Mytilidae
Source: RNAcentral
CAGAAAAGUGUCAACCUCACGAAUUGCAGUGUACAAAUACGUAUAUCGUCAUAAUGAGAAAAAUCUUCUUUUUUACACAACCGUUAUACAUCAAAUAUUUCAUGCAGUCGACAUGUCCCAGAUUUUCCAAUUUCAAUAUUUCCUGUUCUUCUUCGAUAUCUUUAUCGAUGAUGAUGCAUGCAAUUAGAUUUGAAUGAAUUUUAUAGUUUCAUUUGUUCGUUUUAU